This 30-nucleotide non-coding RNA is filed under the name Mus musculus (house mouse). The record is from RNAcentral. Lineage: Eukaryota; Metazoa; Chordata; Mammalia; Rodentia; Muridae.
UGCUCUAUUUGCUGUGAUGGCAAGGAAGAA